UUUAGCAUUCGGUUUAUGGGCCAUAAUACCGUUACCCACCGCAUGUAAUAAGUGCGUUUUACCUAAACCUGUUCCUCCGUA
This is a non-coding RNA of Triticum urartu, 81 nucleotides long. The record is from Rfam. Lineage: Eukaryota; Viridiplantae; Streptophyta; Magnoliopsida; Poales; Poaceae.